RNAcentral lists this non-coding RNA (101 nucleotides) under Clostridium autoethanogenum. RNAcentral describes it as "SAM-I sequence". It matches the Rfam family "SAM riboswitch aptamer (S box leader)". Rfam says of the family: The SAM riboswitch is found upstream of a number of genes which code for proteins involved in methionine or cysteine biosynthesis in Gram-positive bacteria. The record is from RNAcentral. Lineage: Bacteria; Bacillati; Bacillota; Clostridia; Eubacteriales; Clostridiaceae.
UUCUUAUCAAGAGAGGCAGAGGGACUGGCCCUAUGAUGCCCGACAACCUGAAUUUAUAUUCAAGGUGUUAAUUCCAGCAGGUAAAACCUGAGAGAUGAGAA